GUAGUCCACGCCGUAAACGAUGAGCACUAGGUGUCGGGGCCGCAAGGCUUCGGUGCCGCAGUUAACGCAUUAAGUGCUCCGCCUGGGGAGUACGCACGCAAGUGUAAAACUCAAAGGAAUUGACGGGGACCCGCACAAGCAGCGGAGCAUGUGGUUUAAUUCGAAGCAACGCGAAGAACCUUACCAGGACUUGACAUCCCUCUGACAGGACUUUAACAGGUCCCUCCUUCGGGCAGAGGUGACAGGUGGUGCAUGGUUGUCGUCAGCUCGUGUCGUGAGAUGUUGGGUUAAGUCCCGCAACGAGCGCAACCCUUGUCAUUAGUUGCCAUCAUUUGGUUGGGCACUCUAAUGAGACUGCCGGGGAUAACUCGGA
Molecule: ribosomal RNA, 373 nt
Filed under: uncultured bacterium
Lineage: Bacteria
Description: bacterial SSU rRNA
Rfam family: Bacterial small subunit ribosomal RNA
Source: RNAcentral